GCCUGGCUAGCUCAGUCGGUAGAGCAUGAGACUCUUAAUCUCUGGGUCGGGGGUUCGACCCCCCCGUUGGGCG
This 73-nucleotide transfer RNA is filed under the name Daphnia pulicaria. RNAcentral's name for it is "tRNA-Lys". It matches the Rfam family "tRNA". Rfam says of the family: Transfer RNA (tRNA) molecules are approximately 80 nucleotides in length. The record is from RNAcentral. Lineage: Eukaryota; Metazoa; Arthropoda; Branchiopoda; Diplostraca; Daphniidae.